GCCCCACAUCGGGCUUUGUGCUGAAUGCUUGUUCAGAGCCUGAAGCCUGCUUCCGAUUCUGUGUCUCCCUCUCUCUCUGCCCCUUCCCCGUUCAUGCUCCGUC
This is a long non-coding RNA of Lynx canadensis (Canada lynx), 103 nucleotides long. RefSeq lists it as uncharacterized. Lineage: Eukaryota; Metazoa; Chordata; Mammalia; Carnivora; Felidae. The record is from RefSeq and is a predicted model, not a curated record. The transcript is spliced from 3 exons.